RNAcentral lists this ribosomal RNA (55 nucleotides) under Avibacterium paragallinarum JF4211. RNAcentral's name for it is "SSU ribosomal RNA". It matches the Rfam family "tRNA", at positions 8 to 60 of the family's 71-position model. From Rfam's summary of the family: Transfer RNA (tRNA) molecules are approximately 80 nucleotides in length. Their secondary structure includes four short double-helical elements and three loops (D, anti-codon, and T loops). Lineage: Bacteria; Pseudomonadati; Pseudomonadota; Gammaproteobacteria; Pasteurellales; Pasteurellaceae. The record is from RNAcentral.
UAGCUCAGUUGGUAGAGUGCACCCUUGGUAAGGGUGAGGUCGGCGGUUCAAAUCC